Molecule: ribosomal RNA, 432 nt
Filed under: uncultured bacterium
Lineage: Bacteria
Description: partial 16S ribosomal RNA
Rfam family: Bacterial small subunit ribosomal RNA
Source: RNAcentral
AACGAACGCUGGCGGCAUGCCUAAUACAUGCAAGUCGAACGAGAUCUUCGGAUCUAGUGGCGCACGGGUGCGUAACGCGUGGGAAUCUGCCCUUGGGUUCGGAAUAACUUCUGGAAACGGAAGCUAAUACCGGAUGAUGACGUAAGUCCAAAGAUUUAUCGCCCAAGGAUGAGCCCGCGUAGGAUUAGCUAGUUGGUGGGGUAAAGGCCCACCAAGGCGACGAUCCUUAGCUGGUCUGAGAGGAUGAUCAGCCACACUGGGACUGAGACACGGCCCAGACUCCUACGGGAGGCAGCAGUAGGGAAUAUUGGACAAUGGGCGAAAGCCUGAUCCAGCAAUGCCGCGUGAGUGAUGAAGGCCUUAGGGUUGUAAGCUCUUUUACCCGGGAUGAUAAUGACAGUACCGGGAGAAUAAGCUCCGGCUAACUCCGUG